CCACACUGGGACUGAGACACGGCCCAGACUCCUACGGGAGGCAGCAGUGAGGAAUAUUGGACAAUGGGCGAGAGCCUGAUCCAGCCAUGCCGCGUGCAGGAAGACGGCCCUAUGGGUUGUAAACUGCUUUUACAGAGGAAGAACCCUCCUUACGUGUAAGGAGCUGACGGUACUCUAUGAAUAAGGAUCGGCUAACUCCGUGCCAGCAGCCGCGGUAAUACGGAGGAUCCAAGCGUUAUCCGGAAUCAUUGGGUUUAAAGGGUCCGUAGGCGGGUUUAUAAGUCAGUGGUGAAAGUCUGCAGCUUAACUGUAGAACUGCCAUUGAUACUGUAGAUCUUGAAUUAGUAUGAAGUGGUUAGAAUGUGUAGUGUAGCGGUGAAAUGCAUAGAUAUUACACAGAAUACCGAUUGCGAAGGCAGAUCACUAAUACUAUAUUGACGCUGAUGGACGAAAGCGUAGGUAGCGAACAGGAUUAGAUACCCUGGUAGUCUACGCCGUAAACGAUGGUUACUAGCUGUCCGGCCUAAUUGAGGGCUGGGUGGUUAAGCGAAAGUGAUAAGUAACCCACCUGGGGAGUACGUUCGCAAGAAUGAAACUCAAAGGAAUUGACGGGGGCCCGCACAAGCGGUGGAGCAUGUGGUUUAAUUCGAUGAUACGCGAGGAACCUUACCAGGGCUUAAAUGCAGUCUGACGUACUUGGAAACAGGUAUUUCUUCGGACAGAUUGCAAGGUGCUGCAUGGUUGUCGUCAGCUCGUGCCGUGAGGUGUCAGGUUAAGUCCUAUAACGAGCGCAACCCCUGUGGUUAGUUGCCAGCACGUAAUGGUGGGAACUCUAGCCAGACUGCCGGUGCAAACCGUGAGGAAGGUGGGGAUGACGUCAAAUCAUCACGGCCCUUACGUCCUGGGCCACACACGUGCUACAAUGGUAGGGACAGAGAGCAGCCACUUCGCGAGAAGGAGCGAAUCUAUAAACCCUAUCACAGUUCGGAUCGUAGUCUGCAACUCGACUACGUGAAGCUGGAAUCGCUAGUAAUCGCAUAUCAGCCAUGAUGCGGUGAAUACGUUCCCGGGCCUUGUACACACCGCCCGUCAAGCGAUGGAAGUCAGGAGUACCUGAUGUCGCCCCAGCAAGGGGUGCCUAGGGUAAGCCUGGUAACUGGCGCUAAGUCGGAACAAGGUAGCCGUACCGGAAGGUGCGGCUGGAACACC
RNAcentral lists this ribosomal RNA (1209 nucleotides) under uncultured Cafeteria. Its description in RNAcentral is "sp. partial Bacterial small subunit ribosomal RNA". It matches the Rfam family "Bacterial small subunit ribosomal RNA", at positions 308 to 1527 of the family's 1533-position model. Lineage: Eukaryota; Bigyra; Bicosoecida; Cafeteriaceae. The record is from RNAcentral.